This is a microRNA precursor of Poecilia formosa (Amazon molly), 90 nucleotides long. NCBI's taxonomy places the organism in Eukaryota, Metazoa, Chordata, Actinopteri, Cyprinodontiformes, Poeciliidae. The record is from Ensembl.
CUGCUUGCUCCCAGGUUGAGGUAGUUGGUUGUAUAGUUUAGAAUUACAUCCUGGGAGAUAACUGUACAACCUCCUAGCUUUCCCUGAGGU